Molecule: unclassified non-coding RNA, 331 nt
Filed under: fungal sp.
Lineage: Eukaryota; Fungi
Description: partial contains 5.8S ribosomal RNA, internal transcribed spacer 2, and large subunit ribosomal RNA
Source: RNAcentral
CGCACCUUGCGCUCUCUGGUAUUCCGGAGAGCAUGUCUGUUUGAGUGUCAUGAAUUCUUCAACCCAUCGGUUCCUUGUGAACUUGUUUAUGGAGUUUGGAUUUUGAGCUUUGCUGUUCAUUCAGCUGGUUCGUAAUAUAUUAGCAAAUUUCAAUGCCAAAUACUUUCGGCUUGACUCGGUGUGAUAGACUUUUUUUUUCACUGAGGACUUUACUUUUUUCUUAACGGAAAUCUGUAAGGCCGAAACUUGGAUCGGAAGUAGCUUCUAAUUGACAAAAAGUCUUUCUUUAAAUUUAGACCUCAAAUCAGGCAGGAUUACCCGCUGAACUUAA